GCCUUCUUAGCUCAGUGGUAGAGCGCGUGGCUUUUAACCACGUGGUUGUGGGUUCGAACCCCACAGACGGUG
This 72-nucleotide transfer RNA is filed under the name Ipomoea nil (Japanese morning glory). It matches the Rfam family "tRNA". From Rfam's summary of the family: Transfer RNA (tRNA) molecules are approximately 80 nucleotides in length. The record is from Rfam by way of RNAcentral. Lineage: Eukaryota; Viridiplantae; Streptophyta; Magnoliopsida; Solanales; Convolvulaceae.